UGCUACAAUGUGAGGAGCGGGUGCGGC
This 27-nucleotide non-coding RNA is filed under the name Mus musculus (house mouse). The record is from RNAcentral. Lineage: Eukaryota; Metazoa; Chordata; Mammalia; Rodentia; Muridae.